GGAUUGUAAACUCCUGUUGUUGGGGAAGAUAAUGACGGUACCCAACAAGGAAGUGACGGCUAACUACGUGCCAGCAGCCGCGGUAAAACGUAGGUCACAAGCGUUGUCCGGAAUUACUGGGUGUAAAGGGAGCGCAGGCGGGAAGACAAGUUGGAAGUGAAAUCUAUGGGCUCAACCCAUAAACUGCUUUCAAAACUGUUUUUCUUGAGUAGUGCAGAGGUAGGCGGAAUUCCCGGUGUAGCGGUGGAAUGCGUAGAUAUCGGGAGGAACACCAGUGGCGAAGGCGGCCUACUGGGCACCAACUGACGCUGAGGCUCGAAAGUGUGGGUAGCAAACAGGAUUAGAUACCAUGGUAGUCCACACCGUAAACGAUGAUUACUAGGUGUUGGAGGAUUGACCCCUUCAGUGCCGCAGUUAACACAAUAAGUAAUCCACCUGGGGAGUA
Molecule: ribosomal RNA, 445 nt
Filed under: uncultured bacterium
Lineage: Bacteria
Description: bacterial SSU rRNA
Rfam family: Bacterial small subunit ribosomal RNA
Source: RNAcentral